This 480-nucleotide ribosomal RNA is filed under the name uncultured bacterium. Its description in RNAcentral is "partial 16S ribosomal RNA". It matches the Rfam family "Bacterial small subunit ribosomal RNA", at positions 28 to 507 of the family's 1533-position model. The record is from RNAcentral.
GAUGAACGCUAGCGGCAGGCCUAACACAUGCAAGUCGAGGGAGAGGUUACCUUCGGGUAACCAAAACCGGCGCACGGGUGCGUAACGCGUAUACAAUCUGCCUUUCACAUAGGGAUAGCCCGAAGAAAUUUGGAUUAAUACCUAAUGGUAUAUAAGAGCGGCAUCGUUUUUAUAUUAAAGCUACGGUGGUGAAAGAUGAGUAUGCGUUCUAUUAGCUAGUUGGAGAGGUAACGGCACCCCAAGGCGACGAUAGAUAGGGGUUCUGAGAGGGAUGUCCCCCACACUGGUACUGAGAUACGGACCAGACUCCUACGGGAGGCAGCAGUGAGGAAUAUUGGACAAUGGUCGGAAGACUGAUCCAGCCAUGCCGCGUGCAGGAUGAAGGUCCUAUGGAUUGUAAACUGCUUUUGUAAGGGAAGAAUAAGGAGUACGUGUACUUUGAUGACGGUACCUUACGAAUAAGCAUCGGCUAACUCCGUG